This 492-nucleotide ribosomal RNA is filed under the name uncultured bacterium. Its description in RNAcentral is "partial 16S ribosomal RNA". It matches the Rfam family "Bacterial small subunit ribosomal RNA", at positions 29 to 507 of the family's 1533-position model. The record is from RNAcentral.
AAUGAACGCUGGCGGUAUGCCUAACACAUGCCAGUCGAACGGCAGCACAGUAAGCUCUUGCUCUUACGGUUGGCGAGUGGCGGACGGGUGACGAAUACAUCGGAUACUACUUUUUCUUGGGGGAUAACGGAAGGAAACUUACGCUACUACCUCAUACGACCUACGGGUGAAAGCAGUGGAUCUUCGGACCUUUCGCGAUUGAAUGAGCUGAUGUCGCAUUAGCUAGUCGGCGUGGUAAAGUACCACCAAGGCGACGAUGCGUAGCUGAGCUGAGAGGAGGAUGGGCCACAGUGGAACUGAGACACGGUCCAGACUCCUACGGGAGGCAGCAGUAGGGAAUCUUGCGCAAUGGGCGAAAGCCUGACGGAGCAACGCGGCGUGAGUGAGGAAGGUCUUCGGAUCGUAAAACUCUGUUAUUAGGGAAGAACAAAUGUGUGAGUAACUAUGCACGUCUUGACGGUACCUAAUCAGAAAGCCACGGCUAACUACGUG